RNAcentral lists this ribosomal RNA (252 nucleotides) under uncultured bacterium. RNAcentral describes it as "partial 16S ribosomal RNA". It matches the Rfam family "Bacterial small subunit ribosomal RNA", at positions 524 to 776 of the family's 1533-position model. The record is from RNAcentral.
UACGUAGGUCCCGAGCGUUGUCCGGAUUUAUUGGGCGUAAAGCGAGCGCAGGUGGUUUAUUAAGUCUGGUGUAAAAGGCAGUGGCUCAACCAUUGUAUGCAUUGGAAACUGGUAGACUUGAGUGCAGGAGAGGAGAGUGGAAUUCCAUGUGUAGCGGUGAAAUGCGUAGAUAUAUGGAGGAACACCGGUGGGGAAAGCGGCUCUCUGGCCUGUAACUGACACUGAGGCUCGAAAGCGUGGGGAGCAAACAGG